This is a long non-coding RNA of Mercurialis annua (annual mercury), 1660 nucleotides long. RefSeq lists it as uncharacterized. Lineage: Eukaryota; Viridiplantae; Streptophyta; Magnoliopsida; Malpighiales; Euphorbiaceae. The record is from RefSeq and is a predicted model, not a curated record. The transcript has 6 exons.
CUAAAAUAACCCUAAAUCUAAUGUGUUGCUGCCGCCUCUCUACUCUCUUCUUCGAUUUCUUUUAUGCCUUAGCUACACAACGCCGGUGACUUCUUGAAAUUGCCACAACGUCGGUCUGAAUCGCUCAUAUACUUCUUGAUUCAACGAUUCGGCUCCAUUGUUCGUCGGGGAAUAAUCGCGCCAUUUGUUUUAGGGUUUUUGCGUUAACUCUCAGAUUUCUUUCAAUUUUUAUCGGUCAUCAGAUUACAGCCUGAAAUUGUCGUCCAUCAACUUUAUAUUAAGGAGAUUGUUGAGAAUGAACAAGAAGAAAUUCACUAUUACAGUUGAGAAAGAGCAUAGUUUACAGCAGGAAGGAAAUAGAGUGGUUUAUUAAUUCAAUUGGUUUAUAUAUCUAAUUUUGUUUUGUUUUCAUUCUUUUUGCAGGGGUCAUUCAUUCAAAUCUUACAAAAAAAUUGAGAAGCAACUAGCUUCUUCGCCGUUUCAUCAUUUUCGUCUCACUAAUUUCUUAUUUAUUUUUCUCAUUAUCUCAUCAAGCAUGUUUCCUCAUUUUACUCGUUUUUCCCCAAUUUCUUGUUUGGCUACUUUAAUGUUAAUUAUUAUUUUUGUAAUUUCUCAGUUGUAUAUAUCAAGUCCAUAAAUGGGUUAAAUUGAAGCCAUUGUUCAAAAACAUAAACGAGUUAUUCCCCAUUUCUGCUACUAUAUUAUAAAUAAAUUUCGACUCGAUGCUGAAUUGAGUGAAUCAAAUGGAUGUUAACUAAUUAGCGUUUAACAUUUCUGCUACUAUAUUAUAAAUAAAUUUCUCUUUCCUAAUUCUGUUUCAACCUUUUUUGCAAAAGAUUGCUUGCAGGAGGAUUGCUCAUUUAGAAAAAUAUCCUAAUUCAAAGGUGACAAGUCUUGGAAUUGGAGACAUCAUUGAGCCUAUUCCAAAAGUCAUAACUUCUGCAAUGAAAAAGAUAUAAUUAAUUCGCUCAAGCUUAGUUUUGAUGGAAAGUUUUCUCCGAAUAGAAUCUCUUCCGGAACAAGUGCAGCGGAACUUGUAAGAAUUGCAGGCUUCAAACAGUAGAAUGGAUUGUUGGUCUUCAGUAAAAUGUUAGCUUUAUUAGGUGUGGUUGUCAUUUAGUAGAUUUUCUACUCAGUAAUCAUGUAUUUUUGACAACAUUGAUAUCUUAUGUUUUAAGUUUAAGAACUUCUUGAUGAGGCUGAGUUUGGGAAGGCUGCAAGGAAAUGGAGUAUGAUGAGAACACUAUCAAUGCUGCUUCAGAUCUUGGACUGUUGGAGGAAUGUGACAAAGAAAGAUUGAUUUUCUUUCAACUUCCUGCCAAGCUACCCUUUGUCAAGCACCCAGAUAGUGCAAAGGGAAAAGAGAAAGCUAAAGGCUCAAUUCCGUCACAGAACCAGAGUGCUACAAGGAAGGAAAGCGGUUUAGAAGAGUUAUCAGGGGGAUACAUGGGCAAAAUGCUGGUUUACAGGAGCGGAGCGGUGAAGCUGAAGCACGCCGGUCUGAAUCGCUCAGAUAUUUACGGUUCUAAUUUUACAAAAUUUUGAUAAUGCAGAUCUAUUUUAAAAGUUAUGCUUAAUUCAGUUUCUUGACUUUUUAGUAAAUAUUUUACAUGUUUACAUAUAAUCGGUUAUUUUAGUAUAUUAAAGACUUAUUCAUUUA